CGCCCGCGUGAGCGCGUUUACUCUGCUACAUGGGCCCGCUUGGGCAGCUCAUUCUUCUUCCUGCAAAACAGAACCAAGCGUAGAUUCGCACCAGAAUAAUAAACCAGCGCAAUCCCAGCCAAGCGGGUCGCCUCACCCCAAUAUAAAUCCAGAUGUCAAGGCCCCCUUCCCUUCCAAUCCAAACCAAUUCCAUACGUCGCCGAGGUAGGGGGUGGAUCGUCAAUAGGAGCCGAGGGAGAGAUGCAAGCCACCACACCUCCAUCCACUGACCAUGGUAGAAAUCGAAGUGAUAGGAUCGUCUGGUGUUCGUCGUAACACCCCGAGGGUGCCGAUAGGGUUUCUUGGGCCAGAGCGUCGACCGGGACCAAGGAAUUUCUCGUCGAAAUUCAUCAUCGUCACGACUCCACCGCCUGCGUGGUCGUUGAACUUCCUACGCACCAAACCACGCGCCAAUGGCUCACCGGAGUAAGUACUCCAUUGCGCAUCCUCGUCUCUCCGUGGCCAGUGUAGACCACCGCGGGUGCGCCGGAUUGGGCACCGCUGAAAGUUUUGCAUGCCUGACCUCUUUGCAUAGCGGUUGUUCGCAAGGGAGAAAGGCGCCUGGACAGCCAGUGCCACAUAUGUCGGCGAUGCCCUGUAACACCCACUUUGUAAUUUGCUAGAAAUAAUACCAAUAGGGAAACAAUUUCUC
RNAcentral lists this long non-coding RNA (691 nucleotides) under Zea mays. RNAcentral describes it as "drought responsive lncRNA". Lineage: Eukaryota; Viridiplantae; Streptophyta; Magnoliopsida; Poales; Poaceae. The record is from RNAcentral.